ACGGGUGAGUAAUAUAUCGGAACGUACCCUGGAGUGGGGUAACGUAGCGAAAGUUACGCUAAUACCGCAUACGAUCUAAGGAUGAAAGCAGGGGACCAAGGCCUUGUGCUCCUGGAGCGGCCGAUAUCUGAUUAGCUAGUUGGUAGGGUAAAAGCACCAAGGCAUCGAUCAGUAGCUGGUCUGAGAGGACGACCAGCCACACUGGAACUGAGACGGUCCAGACUUCUACGGGAGGCAGCAGUGGGGAAUUUUGGACAAUGGGCGCAAGCCUUCCAGCAAUGCCGCGUGAGUGAAGAAGGCCUUCGGGUUGUAAAGCUCUUUUGUCAGGGGAAAAGGCUACGGAUAAUACCUGUGGCUCAUGACGGUACCUGAAGAAUAAGCACCGGCACUACGUGCCAGCAGCCGCGGUAAUACGUAGGGUGCAAGCGUUAAUCGGAAUUACUGGGUAAAGCGUGCGCAGGCGGUUUUGUAAGACUGUCGUGAAAUCCCCGGGCUCAACCUGGAUGGCGAUGGUGACUGCAAGGCUAGAGUUUGGCAGAGGGGGGUAGAAUUCCACGUGUAAGUGAAAUGCGUAGAUAUGUGGAGGAACACCGAUGGCGAAGGCAGCCCCCUGGGUCAACUGACGCUCAUGCACGAAAGCGUGGGGAGCAAACAGGAUUAGAUACCCUGGUAGUCCACCCUAAACUUGUCUACUAGUUGUCGGGUCUUAAUUGACUUGGUAACGCAGCUAACGCG
This 735-nucleotide ribosomal RNA is filed under the name uncultured bacterium. RNAcentral's name for it is "bacterial SSU rRNA". It matches the Rfam family "Bacterial small subunit ribosomal RNA", at positions 102 to 859 of the family's 1533-position model. The record is from RNAcentral.